This 187-nucleotide non-coding RNA is filed under the name Gammaproteobacteria bacterium. Its description in RNAcentral is "6S RNA". It matches the Rfam family "6S / SsrS RNA". Rfam says of the family: E. coli 6S RNA was the first non coding RNA to be sequenced, but its function was unknown until recently. Lineage: Bacteria; Pseudomonadati; Pseudomonadota; Gammaproteobacteria. The record is from RNAcentral. RNAcentral also lists the same sequence under 1 other name.
UUCCUCCUGCGGUGUUCGAGACUAGCCCGGAAGUCUUUCGACCCUAACUUUCAGAUUUGGGAUCAAUGGUCUGUCGACAGCUUUGUGCAAAACCGCUUCAAGCGGAUAGCCUGCUCUGUCACGGCUGAUCCCACCUUCCGCUCUGGUUCGAGAGCAAGAGGUCUAUCACGGCACAUGCGGGAGGAAC